Molecule: ribosomal RNA, 256 nt
Filed under: uncultured bacterium
Lineage: Bacteria
Description: partial 16S ribosomal RNA
Rfam family: Bacterial small subunit ribosomal RNA
Source: RNAcentral
CGGACGGGUGAGUAACGCGUGGGUAACCUGCCUCAUACAGGGGGAUAACAGUUAGAAAUGACUGCUAAUACCGCAUAAGCGCACAGUGCUGCAUGGCUCAGUGUGAAAAACUCCGGUGGUAUAAGAUGGACCCGCGUUGGAUUAGCUUGUUGGCAGGGUAACGGCCUACCAAGGCGACGAUCCAUAGCCGGCCUGAGAGGGUGAACGGCCACAUUGGGACUGAGACACGGCCCAGACUCCUACGGGAGGCAGCAUG